Molecule: ribosomal RNA, 460 nt
Filed under: uncultured bacterium
Lineage: Bacteria
Description: partial 16S ribosomal RNA
Rfam family: Bacterial small subunit ribosomal RNA
Source: RNAcentral
CCUACGGGGUGCAGCAGUGAGGAAUAUUGGUCAAUGGACGAGAGUCUGAACCAGCCAAGUAGCGUGAAGGAUGACUGCCCUAUGGGUUGUAAACUUCUUUUAUAUGGGAAUAAAACGUUCCACGUGUGGGAUUUUGUAUGUACCAUAUGAAUAAGGAUCGGCUAACUCCGUGCCAGCAGCCGCGGUAAUACGGAGGAUCCGAGCGUUAUCCGGAUUUAUUGGGUUUAAAGGGAGCGUAGGUGGAUUGUUAAGUCAGUUGUGAAAGUUUGCGGCUCAACCGUAAAAUUGCAGUUGAAACUGGCAGUCUUGAGUACAGUAGAGGUGGGCGGAAUUCGUGGUGUAGCGGUGAAAUGCUUAGAGAUCACGAAGAACUCCGAUUGCGAAGGCAGUUCACUGGACUGCAACUGACACUGAGGCUCGAAAGUGUGGGUAUCAAACAGGAUUAGAUACCCGUGUAGUC